GGCUGGCAUCAGUAAAAAAAAUGACAUUAUCUGCAAGUUAACAGGUUGCAACUCACCAGCUGAUGUCAGCUCCUCUCCGCUGCAGUGAUUUCAGCCCAGCACUAUUCCUUUUGCACGUGGAACACACCUGGCUUGGACUUAGCUGAGUACCCGCAACCCUUCUAUAACUGUGUGAUGGUACCAAAGGUGAUCACAUUAUUUGGUCACAUUAAUGGUUUUAUUAGUUUUAUUUUAAAUGUUGGAAGUGCAUCAGAAAUCUGCUGUAGAGAUCUGGAGUCCUGGUGGAUAAAAGUUAAUGCUGCAUCUUUCUGUUGCCUAUAAGCAGAGGAGAAUAAAACCUUGCCAAUUCAGUAUCUGUGAACAAGUUGAACCAUAUGUGACAGCAUGUUUUUUAGAUGGCAUCAUUUCAUCUCAUGCUCUGAAAGUGACAAGUUACACUGUGGCACUGACUUUAUUGUAUUAGCCUGUGCUGGCUGUGCUGAAUUUAUAAACCAUGGAGCAACUUUCUUUGGCUCUAUCUCACACAACAGAAGGUGAAGUAAGAAAACACUGGGAAACUAAUUGACUUUUCAAGAGAAUCAUCUUUUUGGGUUGGUUUGGAAGGUUGAAGGAGGAGCCAAGAUAACAAAAAUCUAUUUCAAGUAAAUAAGUGUAUGUUCUUGCCUGGUGAUUCCUGUAGUGGCUUUUCCUGUGCAUAUAAAUGAAAGACCUGGAGUAUAUUUUUUCUACCUAAAAACUUUAACUGCUAUUUUCAAGGAAAUAAGACAAUUUUUUAAGCUUUCAACACUCUAUGGUGUUGAUAUCUCAAUAUUCUUCUAAAGAGGCUUUUUGUUGUACAGUAGAAGAAAAGGCCUAUUCCAUAAAAGCAAAUGCAGUUGUCUGCCAGGUCAACACUGGACCAGCCAGAAUCUGUGAUAAUAAGAACAAUAUGAAACAGAAUUUGAAUUAAUGUUACCUUGCCUUUCAGUAGGUUUAUUGACUUGAAUGUUGUAUUAUGUCUUAAUCAAUGUGUAUGUAUUAUGUCUUAAUCAAUGUGGAUUCUAGUUGAUUUGUAGUGGAAAGUGCUACAAAAGCAGAAAAGCUACAAAGUGCUUUUCAGACAUAUUCAUAGGCUUGCCAAUAGCAGAGCCACAGGCAAAUAAUGUUCUUAUUGAAUGAAAAUAGGAGAUAGAGUUCCAAACUUUUAGAAAAAGCAGACCCUAGAAACAAUUAGACCAACACUGUGAGAAGAUAAGCAAUUUCAAUUUACAUGUGUUAUUAAGGUAUUCUAUUGAUAUACGUUACAUCAUUUAAUACAUGCUAUUAAAAUGCUUUUAAAUGGGUAGAUGAGUUCACCAAUGAAAAUUUUGGAACAGAGCAGUCCAUUGUUUCUAAGUUAACUUGAUAGUCAGGUUAGAAUUUGUGGGGACUAGAGGGCAGUCUUUUAAAACUGUAUUUGUUCAGUAAUCAUUAAAUUAAUUUUACCUAGAUGUUAUAAACAGUGGUUCAGUGCUAUCACUAUCACCAGGCAAAGAACUGAUUAUGCCAGGUCCAUCAACUCACCACAGUAAUCAAAUUGAAACUUGUCUGCAAAGCAAGGUUAUAUCUAAAGCUUUUUGAAACAGGAGUUCAUGGUGUGCAUCUAGUUAAAUCUACCUAUAUAACCUUGUACGGAUUCCACCAUUUAUGAGAAAAGAGGUGCAUCGCAUGGAGGUUGGCUUCCCAGCUGACUUCUAAAGUAAGAAAACAGCAGUGAUUCAUGAACUUGGCAGGGAUUCUUUCAAGUAUGAGAUUACUAAAAAAUAUGUACUACUUUAGAUACUGUAUUUCAUACUAAUAUUUCAAGCAUUUAGAGCUUUGUUGUUGUAAAUACGUUGCAGGAGAAAUUAAGUUUAUUAAUGUAGAAAAUGUCCAUGUAGAAAACAUGCUCUUUAUUGGCCCUCUUUCUUAACAUAUGUGUUCAAAGUUCUCAUUUCACUGUUUAAUUGCUUUGAACAAUAUGUAAAAAAUAGUAGUUUACGUGGCUUAGUCAACUGAUUUACAAGUAAGCAUUCUUUCAACUGUAGGUAUUAAAAAGUUCUCAGAUGAAAGAGGUAAAAUGUGCAAGCCCAACCUUUCUGUCUUUGAGGGCAGAGACCAAACCUAAAUGUAAUAGAAGACAUUGAUAAAAUGUUUGUUCAGUGACACAUGAUGGCUUUAUAGCAGUCGUAGCAAUAAAUCCAGUGGGACAGUAUUCAAAAUAUAUUUUAUCAAGUUCUUCAUAGUUAGAUAUAAUCCUGAAAUAAAACCAAUCUAUAUUUGUAAAUAUGGAUUAGAAGCAUGAAGGUGCUGCUUAUUGUCAACAUUUAGACUGGGUAGUUUCUACACUGGCAGAUCUAGUUGGAACUUUGAGAUGAACCUAUUCCAGUUAUUUCCUUACAGUAAGUUCUUCAAAGAUAAAAAGGCUUUUAAAUCAGGAAAAUCUGGGACAUGCAUUGAAUAUCCAUUGAAAUGCCUAAGUCUUUAAAUGUAUGUAAGAUAAAGCACAACUGGAAGACAUACAUCUGUGUUCCCUCUGCCUCUUCUGCAUCCUUUAGGGGCACGUUCUUUCUCCCAGUCAUAGCUUCACUCGACUUAUUAUUCAUUUUGAACAGGAGAAAACCACACAGCCAGGUCUGGCUGCAUCUUCUGUAUUCCCAAGAAGGGGAAGGUACAGUCUCCUUUUGAGCUCCUUUUGUAGUUGUCUUUUUCUCAGCACUGCCCUGUGUCAUGCUUCCUCUCUAUAUCACAUAGUUCUGAGCAUUCUUACUGUUUCCCAAGUCUUUCCUCUUUUCAUGGUGCAUAGUGCAGGCAUUCAGAACAAGUCAAUAUGUAACGGAUGAUGACAGUGAAAUUUUGAAGGUGCAUUUUAAAUUUCAGAAAUGAACUUGAAACUGGACAUGUUAGACAAAUAGAAAAAUGAGAUAGAUCAGUUCCUCCUCUGUGGAAACAGAUAUUGUCUACAGGGAGACCUUGGUCUCACUUCUUAGUAGAUCUGAAACAGAAGGGAGACAAGACAAAUUGGUCAGGGAGUGCUUUAGCAGAAUUCUGAAAUAAAAAUAAUGCACUGGGUGGGAGUACUUUUUGCAUUGCAAAUAGUUUGAAACAGUCUUAGUUUUUUGGCCAACUUUAUACAUAAUUGUGAAUCUAAGAUGUUCUUGGCAUGUUUCAGCUUCUGUCUUGUUAGAAGAUGUUAGCUCCCUCCAAGCUGUUUUAUUUUAGUCUGGUUGCUGUGACAGCCACAAGGCAAAAUUCAGCUGUUCUGGGAAGAGGGUCAGGUGCUGGCCUGCUGCUAUGAAAGUGGAAAGGGUGUGGGGAAAUGGUCAAGUAGAAUAGAGAACUGCAGGGGAAAAAUAGAGAGGGGAAAAUAGAACAACAUAAAAGCUACAGAAUUAAACUUGUGCUAUGAACAGAAUGAGCGCUGAUUGUUGCUUGUGGAAGAGUCUCAUUGCUUCCAGCAGAACUGAGCUAUGGUACCCUGACCUAUCCCUAUUAACAGCAGCAGCAGCACCAACCUGAUGCUGUGAUUGAGAAAAGGAGCCCUUUGUUCUUCUGUUACACAGCAGCAGUCUAUGCCCUAGGUGCUUAAUUUCAGUGCUUUCAACAGAGGUGUGUAUAGCAUAGUGUAGAAAGUACAGAGGCUUCAUCUUGGCCUACCAAAGGGUUUGGUUCUGAUUUAUCCUGUGGGCAUAUACUUUUAACUGCACAUCACCAGUCGUGUUAAAAACUUAAUGUCCAUUACCAUUAAGAUGUUAGAAGACAAUUGAUAAACCUCUCAA
Molecule: long non-coding RNA, 3776 nt
Organism: Centrocercus urophasianus (Greater sage-grouse)
Lineage: Eukaryota; Metazoa; Chordata; Aves; Galliformes; Phasianidae
Exons: 6
Source: RefSeq, a predicted model, not a curated record